GUUAUUCCGGCUGGUCAUCCUAAGGCGGCGCCCGGCCAGCGUCGUCAGCAUCUUCUCCGGGCAGCCAGCAGGUGGAGCAAGAGAGGACCUGAAGAGAGCGCACACUUGGAAGAAGUAGGAUCUGGGGCACUUUGAAGACGAGACUUAAAGCCAUGCAAAGAGCUGUGGUUUCUGCAGUGAAAACUGGCCAAUCCUGGAUCUGUGGCCAGCCUCGGGGAGUCGGGUGGAAGCCCAGCCAGCAUCUCCAGGUACUCCCCUCAUCCUUUGCUAUUGAUCUAAGCUCGUUCCAUCAACCAUGCUCUGCAGCCGCGGCCAGUCCUCUCCGUGCAGCCAAGCAAGGAGCUUCAUGAAUGUCAACCAAGAAAGGAUGUCUGCCUGUGAAAUAUAACUGUGCUGACCACCAUCCCGAUGGUCCCACAUGGACCCACCUGUGGUACCUACAGGCCUUUUAAAAUAGAGGAUGGUCUUCUUCCUUCCA
Molecule: long non-coding RNA, 478 nt
Organism: Suricata suricatta (meerkat)
Lineage: Eukaryota; Metazoa; Chordata; Mammalia; Carnivora; Herpestidae
Exons: 2
Source: RefSeq, a predicted model, not a curated record